AGUCAAUUAGCUUAUAUAAAGCAUUUACUUUGAAAGUAAAAGAAAGACUACUAAUUUAUUGACUU
This 65-nucleotide transfer RNA is filed under the name Exitianus nanus. RNAcentral describes it as "tRNA-Ser". Lineage: Eukaryota; Metazoa; Arthropoda; Insecta; Hemiptera; Cicadellidae. The record is from RNAcentral.